GAUGAACGCUGGCGGCGUGCCUAAUACAUGCAAGUCGAGCGAACGGACGAGAAGCUUGCUUCUCUGAUGUUAGCGGCGGACGGGUGAGUAACACGUGGAUAACCUACCUAUAAGACUGGGAUAACUUCGGGAAACCGGAGCUAAUACCGGAUAAUAUUUUGAACCGCAUGGUUCAAAAGUGAAAGACGGUCUUGCUGUCACUUAUAGAUGGAUCCGCGCUGCAUUAGCUAGUUGGUAAGGUAACGGCUUACCAAGGCAACGAUGCAUAGCCGACCUGAGAGGGUGAUCGGCCACACUGGAACUGAGACACGGUCCAGACUCCUACGGGAGGCAGCAGUAGGGAAUCUUCCGCAAUGGGCGAAAGCCUGACGGAGCAACGCCGCGUGAGUGAUGAAGGUCUUCGGAUCGUAAAACUCUGUUAUUAGGGAAGAACAUAUGUGUAAGUAACUGUGCACAUCUUGACGGUACCUAAACAGAAAGCCACGGCUAACUACGU
RNAcentral lists this ribosomal RNA (496 nucleotides) under uncultured bacterium. RNAcentral's name for it is "partial 16S ribosomal RNA". It matches the Rfam family "Bacterial small subunit ribosomal RNA", at positions 28 to 506 of the family's 1533-position model. The record is from RNAcentral.